This 253-nucleotide ribosomal RNA is filed under the name uncultured bacterium. RNAcentral's name for it is "partial 16S ribosomal RNA". It matches the Rfam family "Bacterial small subunit ribosomal RNA", at positions 524 to 776 of the family's 1533-position model. The record is from RNAcentral.
UACGUAGGGGGCAAGCGUUGUCCGGAAUCAUUGGGCGUAAAGAGCGUGUAGGCGGCCAGAAAAGUCCGCUGUGAAAACUCGAGGCUCAACUUCGAGCUGUCGGUGGAAACUUUCUGGCUAGAGUCCGGAAGAGGAGAAUGGAAUUCCUGGUGUAGCGGUGAAAUGCGCAGAUAUCAGGAAGAACACCCGUGGCGAAAGCGGCUCUCUGGGACGGUACUGACGCUGAGACGCGAAAGCGUGGGGAGCGAACAGG